This 110-nucleotide ribosomal RNA is filed under the name Salvator merianae (Argentine black and white tegu). The record is from RNAcentral. Lineage: Eukaryota; Metazoa; Chordata; Lepidosauria; Squamata; Teiidae.
GCCUAUGGCCAUACCACCAUGAACAGACCUGAUCUUGGAAACUAAGCAGGGUUGGGUCUGGUUAGAACUUGGAUGGGAGUCCGCCUGGGUAUACUUGGGUGCUGCAGACC